UACCGUGAAAAAAUUAGAGUGUUCAAAGCAGGCAGAUUCAAUUUUCUUGCCACCGAAUACAUUAGCAUGGGAUAAUGGAAUAGGACCCUGUCCUCCUAUUUUCAGUUGGUUUUGGCAGCGCGAGGACUAGGGUAAUGAUUAAUAGGGAUAGUUGGGGGCAUUAAUAUUUAAUUGUCAGAGGUGAAAUUCUUGGAUUUAUGAAAGAUUAACUUCUGCGAAAGCAUCUGCCAAGGAUGUUUUCAUUAAUCAAGAACGAAAGUUAGGGGAUCGAAGACGAUCAGAUACCGUCGUAGUCUUAACCAUAAACGAUGCCGACCAGCGAUUAGGAGACGUUGAAUACAAAACACCACCAUCGGCGCGGUCGUCCUUGGCGCGUUCGUGUUCACCCCCGGGCACGCGAGGGCGGCUUAGCCCGGUGGCACCGGUGAAUGACUCC
RNAcentral lists this ribosomal RNA (436 nucleotides) under Acanthamoeba sp. AG-2012. RNAcentral's name for it is "SSU rRNA". It matches the Rfam family "Eukaryotic small subunit ribosomal RNA", at positions 753 to 1080 of the family's 1831-position model. The record is from RNAcentral. Lineage: Eukaryota; Discosea; Longamoebia; Acanthamoebidae.